AGGGGUGUAGCUCAAUUGGUAGAGCACUGGUCUCCAAAACCAGCGGUUGCAGGUUCGAGUCCUGUCGCCCCUGCCA
Molecule: transfer RNA, 76 nt
Filed under: Actinomycetes bacterium
Lineage: Bacteria; Bacillati; Actinomycetota; Actinomycetes
Also listed under: 10 other names
Description: tRNA-Trp
Rfam family: tRNA
About the family: Transfer RNA (tRNA) molecules are approximately 80 nucleotides in length. Their secondary structure includes four short double-helical elements and three loops (D, anti-codon, and T loops).
Source: RNAcentral